This is a long non-coding RNA of Odontomachus brunneus, 511 nucleotides long. RefSeq lists it as uncharacterized. The record is from RefSeq and is a predicted model, not a curated record. The transcript is spliced from 3 exons. NCBI's taxonomy places the organism in Eukaryota, Metazoa, Arthropoda, Insecta, Hymenoptera, Formicidae.
ACCCAUCAUUCCUCCGUUGCUGAGUCCGUGUGGUUGUGACAACCAUAUCAUAGUUCGCGCUACAGCGUGAGUCGUUGUCGCACCACCGCAUAAGCGUUGGCACUUGCCAAGCGCUGGCCGACUUGCACCGACUCGCACAACAAAGUACAACGAUUGACGCCAAGACAACUAAAACUCGAGCACUUUGCAGCGGAGUAAGUCGUAUUUGCCUACUUUUCUGCCAAUUUGGUUUUAUUUGGAAAAAAGUGAACUGUACAAUUACGUAGAAUGGAUGAAGAAGCAGUAAAUCUUCUGAAAAAUGUGGGGCUCAACGAUUUUAUCUAAAAAGAACUAGAUGCAGUAUCCAUUAAUCUCUUAAUGGAUUUUCCUGAAAAUUUGAAAGAUGUUCUUCCCAGUCUUAAGGAUCAAUUAAAAUUCAAAAAGGCUAUGUUAGACUCAAAGAACGUUUGUACAAUUACAUGUGUGCCCCAAGAGGAUCAAGAUAAUCGCAGCUUAUUUUUGACUGAGAUAC